Molecule: unclassified non-coding RNA, 231 nt
Filed under: Ascomycota sp.
Lineage: Eukaryota; Fungi; Ascomycota
Description: partial contains small subunit ribosomal RNA, internal transcribed spacer 1, and 5.8S ribosomal RNA
Rfam family: Eukaryotic small subunit ribosomal RNA (bases 1-47)
Source: RNAcentral
AAAGUCGUAACAAGGUUUCCGUAGGUGAACCUGCGGAAGGAUCAUUAAUAAACCUAGCGCUCGCGCACAGGUAACCCUUGAAUAACAUACCUUCGUUGCUUUGGCGGGCCGCCCUCGUGGCCAGCGGCCUCGGCUGCUGCGCGCCCGCCGGAGGACCACAACUCUUGUUUUUAGUGAUGUCUGAGUACUAUAUAAUAGUUAAAACUUUCAACAACGGAUCUCUUGGUUCUG